UACGUAGGGGGCAAGCGUUGUCCGGAAUCAUUGGGCGUAAAGCGCGUGUAGGCGGUUCGAUAAGUCUGCUGUGAAAGUCCAGGGCUCAACCCUGGGAUGCCGGUGGAUACUGUCGGACUAGAGUACGGAAGAGGCGAGUGGAAUUCCCGGUGUAGCGGUGAAAUGCGCAGAGAUCGGGAGGAACACCCGUAGCGAAGGCGGCACUCUGGGCCGGUACUGACGCUGAGGAGCGAAAGCGUGGGUAGCAAACAGG
RNAcentral lists this ribosomal RNA (253 nucleotides) under uncultured bacterium. Its description in RNAcentral is "partial 16S ribosomal RNA". It matches the Rfam family "Bacterial small subunit ribosomal RNA", at positions 524 to 776 of the family's 1533-position model. The record is from RNAcentral.